UUAUGGUGCCUAUGAUUCUGAUGUCAUUGGACUCAUCUACUAUCAGGGUAUCACUCUCCUGAAAGCAGUGAGAAAUGUUAAUAGAACCAGUGUUUCUCUGCCCAACUGGUGGGAUCAAGUAACAAGCAAAAUCAUUUACUCGUCUUCCAAGGAGUGGCUGAAAUGUAAGAAGUGUUAUAAAGAAGGCAUUAAACUGAAGGCAUCCACUGAUGUGCAUCAGUAUUUAAAAUGAGAGGAAGAGGUGUCUCCAUGCUCAGUUUGUUGAAGGAUGUCCAACCUGGAAUGCUCUGAACAGGAAAGACCAGCUGAAAGAAUGGUUUAGUCUUCAUCUCUCCUGGGGCUAAAGAUGAUGAGCUCAUCAAGUCUCCGUAACAAGUGUGGAGAAUAGCCAAGAGGAAGAAAGAAUAAGCUCUGCAGACCGAAGUGAUUUGCCCAAGGUCACCAAGGGAGACCCAGGACAGCCAGGCACAGACUCCAGCCCUGCUAAUGGCGCCUCGUUUGUUCCAGGGCUGUGGUCAGUGGCUCCCACACCAGGGCCACAACUCACAUAAGGGCACAGCAGGUUGCCAGUGUAACAAAAAUCCCAUUACCUCUGACAUUCACCUUCCUGUUUUGAAAGGCAUAAGAUUAUCCUUCUGUAAGCUGAAUACUGGAAAAAGUAUGGAAAUGGCCAAGCUAGAUGAUGUUCUUUUCCCUAACAGUCCCAACCUGUGAAGCAAUUCUCCCUUCAUUUUAUUCUGUGAUAUCAUCUGCCUUCUUUUUAACCUUCUCUAAGUGAAAGCCUUAAAAAAACCUAAACAAAGUUAUCUCAUUUUGUUUAAAAUAUACAAACCUUUGAGAGAUGCAGCAGUAAGAAACAUGGAAUUUUCUGGUUAUGAUCAAAACUGAAAAUUCCUUAACAUGCUUAUGUUCAGUACCUUAUCAUUCAGCAUUAUGUUCAAAGCUAAGACACUAUUUUACUCCUCUCUGGCCACUACUGAAGUAAAUUAUUUCUAUAAGAGGAAGUUUUCUUCUGGGCAUAGAAAUGUGUUUAGUCUCUUGAGCAGCAGUUUGUACAUCUGCAAACGAAUACAGAUACCAAAUUCAUAUUUUUUCCCUUUUAUAUCCACUUUGCAUUUGUCUUUGGAAAUGCUUCUCCUUUCCAUGUAAGCCAUUUUACACAGGUCUGUGGAUACUUUAAUUUAGGUAAGUUAGACCAAGGCUAGGAAGCUGCCCUAAUAAGAUCCUAAAGAACUGGGUCCUAAUUUGCUAAUGGCUAUUUUUUUUCUUGAUUUCAUUAUUUUAUAUUACCCUCCUUACGACAGGUGAAUCUGCAGAGAGUGGAAGUCUGAACAAGAUCUGGACCAGCAUCCAAAAAUCAGAUGCUUGUCCAAAUUAUUCAGACCUCAGAAGUAUGUAAAACUGAGUGGAAUGGGGAUGAGAGCUUGUUUUCUCUCAAAAUUUCUCAUUUCACAAUUGGCCAACACAGAAAAAAGAAUGAGGAUUUUUGCUGCAUAUUGGCACUUUUAGUCUCAGCUUGACUAUAGCAAUGAUCUCUCUCCAGCCCUGCCCUGAUAAGUGCACAAUUAAGAACCUCAAAAAAGGUUUUUGAUUCUGAAAGUAGCUGUAUCCUGUGUCUCUGCUUUUUACAGAGAACUUGCUAUUGUGGCUUAAGGGGGAAGAUAUGGCUUAUGAAGUCAGUAGAGUAACAUGUUAUUCCACUGUUUUGUAGUAGGUCUUUUAGUAGUUUAACUGUUUCAAAGUGUUUAAUCUAUUUGUUCUUGCCACAUAAGUUCUUAUUACAGCUUUCCAUGCUAUUUGUUUUUUUUCCACAUAGGGUAAUCAACCCUUAAAAUAUCUAGAUAGGUGACUAGACAGCAAAAUUCACCUAUCUGAGACACUAACACAGAAAUUAGUGAAAAUCUGGUAUUUGAGACUUAAUAUUACCAACUUUUCAAAUUCUUUCCAGUGGAAGUUUUCAACGUGCAAACCCCAGAGGAUCAUACCUGACAAAUGUAUAUUCUUCUGCAAGUAGCCAUGGGGGGUGACAAAAGUGAGGAUUAUCAUGAUAAAGGGCAUGUUUUGGUGUUUCAUUAUUCACUUACUGUGGUGUAUACGUGGAAAAAGUGGAGCAAACAGGAAGAGUCUGCUAAGGGGAAGGGUUUUUUUUUUCCCCACAAAAUGCAUAUAUAUCAAUAGUAAAUGCCUACAGUGGGUCCACCAAAAAUAGGUCUCUCUGAAGGAGAGAGGAGAAACAGCUCUACAAAAUCAUUCAAAGGCAGGUUAGACAGUUGUAUUCUGUUUUAUACUUCUCUCUGUAAGUGUAUUUUACAUGGAUAUAGCCCCAUCUAUUACAUGAGCAAAGUCUAAACAGCUCUUCCAUUGACAGAUUAGGAGGAAUUUAGCCCAAUCAUUCCUCCAUAAAUGCUUUCUAUGUAGUCAUUCAAGAAGCUCUUCAGAUUCAUUCCAAAUUCAUUGGAAUAAUGAGUGUGAAGGCCUAAAUUCAUUCACUGAAUCAGCACCUGAAAACUCUUGUCUGCUAUCCCUCUUCUGAGCAAACACUCUCAGCCUCAACACCCUUGUUCUGGAUUCUUUUUUGCAGUUUGAAUGGUUUGUUACAGCAAUAAACAGGGAGUGCUUUGGAUUUCUGAUUGAGAUUGCAUUUGUUGCACAUAAUCUUUUUUAUAACACUUAUAUUUGUUAAUGAGUACAGUGGAGGAAUCUGUCAAAAUUAGUUAUGCAUUGAUGUUAAAUUCACGUUUAGAAUAAGUGUGAAUUGUGUAGCCUGGUUAAAUUAUGAAUUGACAUUUAUCAUCUGCCAUCCUAACUCUUACAUGGAACAGAAGAGAUUAAGUAGAUCCAUACUUUAGACAAGAUUAAGCAAUGUUUUUCUGUUAAUCAAGUACCUUAUGACCACCUUUUAAUAAAAAUCUUUGCUUUGAUCAGGAUACAGAGCAGCAAGCAGACUGCAGCUACCAGAGGAAAUAUGACCCUCAUCAAAGAAAAUGAGUGAGCAAACAAAAACACCAAGAGAAGAAGGGGUAUGUAUGUUUAAGGCCUUUAGUAGGUUAAGUACCUUUUCAGCAAUUUACAGUAUGGCCCAGAUGGCCCUUAAAUGAGCUACUGAAAUGAUGGCAAUCCGUAAGUCUUGAAACAUAUUUCUAAGGAGAUUAGAAAGUGUGGUUGUAGAGACCUGUAUAAUUCAGCAGGAGUCCGGGCCUGUUCAAAGGUACUAAACCAGAGCAUUGCUUAGACAUGGAAACUCUGCAAAUGAUUGUAAAAGCAGAAAGUUUUAGAAACAAAAUAUAUCUUUUAAAGCAAUAUAUGAACUGAAAAUCUGGGUAAAUAAGCCCAUUACAGGCAUUUUUUUUUAAGUUUCAUGCUUUCACAAGAGGUUGGACUAGAUGACCUCCUGAGAUUUUUUUCAAUUUAAAUUUCUCAAUGAUUUUGUGAGAUGCAUUUGGCCCCUUGGCACAGAAAGGUAAAUACUGCCAUCAAUAUUUAUAGCUCAGCAAUGUAAAUUUUCUCUAAAAUCACAUAUCAAAAUUAUAAUUUGAAGAGCUGAUAAUAAAAAGUCCUCCAUCUUCAGUAUGAGAUACACCUAAAGCGUAUUUUCUCACUUCUUCCAUAAGCUAUAGAUAAUAUUCUGCUGUCACCUCUCUGCUAUGAUACCACUUUUUAACCCCCUCAUAUUUAUGUUGGUUUUCCUGCCUAAUGUUUUGUAAGCCUCACAGCAAUGUUACAUUUAUUUAGUUUAUUUUACUUCUGCUGCCUCUGGAUUAUCAAUAGUGUUAUUAUUAUUACACAUUUCUGAUCAUAGAUAGUGUUCUGCUUCCUUCAGCCUUUUAAAGUUGCAAGGAAGUGUUUCAUCUGCAGGCACGAAGGAGCAAAAACAAAUCUUCUGUCAUUAAGGCUCUCCCAUGACCAGUUCUUCAGUGACAGUCCAGGUCUGUACAAAGAUCCAGAACACUGUACAAAGUCACAGGAGCAGCAGAACCAGCUGUGGAGAGGGGCUGGAGAGUACAGAGCUCUGCAGUCAGCUCUGGACCCUCGUCCCUCUUGGGGACUGGGUACAAAUGGGUAAGCAGCAUGAUUGUCUCUGCUUUGGCCUUGCCAAGCUGGUGUAAUUAUUGCUGGGAGCUGUUAACCAGACAGUUUAAGUUCCAGUUUAAACUGAGUCGACAUUUGUAACCAAGUAGUAAAAAACUGGCAAUUGACCAAUUCAGCUAGAGUUAGAUUGGUUAUUUAACAUUCAAUUUUUCUCUUCCUCUUAAAAUUUUUAACAAUGUAGGAGAUGCUGGGGGACUGGGACUGUGCUGAUGUUGAUUUGGAGUUCUGAGCAGGUAAUAUGUUUUGUAUGGCUAAAUGUUUGUAGUAUCAAAAACUUCCUUAAUGAUGUUUGUUUCCCUUCCACUAAUUCUGCUUCAGUUUCUGUUGCUGUAGAUUGGGAGAUCUAUCAAAAAAAUACUCAUGUGAGUUACACAGUGUUUGCAAAGGACCACAUCAAGUUUUCACAGAGAAGCAAUGUACUUUCCUCAUAACCAGUCAGUAGUAGAGCACCUGCUCUUCUUGGAAGGAAUUUCAGCAUGUGGCUGUUGCAAAUAGUAUUUUGUCAGGCUGGGCACAAGUCUACAGAUUCUGAUUUGGCAAUACUCACCGAGGUCUCCACCUGGAGAAGCCAGGCAUAGGAAACAGCAGGUCUGAAAUCCCUCCUGCUGUUGCUCAGGGGGCUGACCCUGAUGUGUGUCCUAUGGAGGGCAGGAGGCUCAGGCAACUCCACCCUGCCACUGCCACCAGGAGAGCUCUUUGCAUUUCCAGGCAGGUGAAACCUUUUAUUUUUGCCUGUUUAAGGAGAUCUUAUGUAUAGAUUUUAAUUGGGGGUGGGGAUCGUUUUGCUUUAUCUUAGGUUUUCUAUCAGAUAUUAGAAUCACAUCUUUCUUUUG
Molecule: long non-coding RNA, 4922 nt
Organism: Lepidothrix coronata (blue-crowned manakin)
Lineage: Eukaryota; Metazoa; Chordata; Aves; Passeriformes; Pipridae
Exons: 8
Source: RefSeq, a predicted model, not a curated record